GAAAGCAGAAUUUCUAGUGUAGAGGUGAAAUUCGUAGAUAUUAGAAAGAAUACCAAUUGCGAAGGCAGCUUUCUGGAUCAUUACUGACACUGAGGAACGAAAGCAUGGGUAGCGAAGAGGAUUAGAUACCCUCGUAGUCCAUGCCGUAAACGAUGUGUGUUAGACGUUGGAAAUUUAUUUUCAGUGUCGCAGCGAAAGCGAUAAACACACCGCCUGGGGAGUACGACCGCAAGGUUAAAACUCAAAUGAAUUGACGGGGACCCGCACAAGUAGUGGAGCAUGUGGUUUAAUUCGAAGAUACGCGCAGAACCUUACCAACACUUGACAUGUUCGUCGCGACUCUAAGAGAUUAGAGUUUUCGGUUCGGCCGGACGAAACACAGGUGCUGCAUGGCUGUCGUCAGCUCGUGUCGUGAGAUGUUGGGUUAAGUCCCGCAACGAGCGCAACCCUCACUUUUAGUUGCCAUCAUUAAGUUGGGCACUCUGAAAGAACUGCCAGUGAUAAGCUGGAGGAAGGUGGGGAUGACGUCAAGUCCUCAUGGCCCUUACGUGUUGGGCUACACACGUGCUACAAUGGUAUCUACAACAGGAAGCAAGACUGCGAGGUCAAGCAAAUCCUUAAAAGAUACCUCAGUUCGGAUUGCACUCUGCAACUCGAGUGCAUGAAGCUGGAAUUACUAGUAAUCGUGGAUCAGCGUGCCACGGUGAAUGCGUUCCCGGGUCUUGUACACACCGCCCGUCACACCAUGGGAGUUGGUUCUACCUUAAGGCAAGGUUUUAAACCCUUGACCACGGUAUAGUCAGCGACUGGGGUGAAGUCGUAACAAGGUAGCCGUAGGGGAACCUGCGGCUG
Molecule: ribosomal RNA, 852 nt
Filed under: marine metagenome
Description: bacterial SSU rRNA
Rfam family: Bacterial small subunit ribosomal RNA
Source: RNAcentral